RNAcentral lists this ribosomal RNA (406 nucleotides) under uncultured bacterium. RNAcentral describes it as "partial 16S ribosomal RNA". It matches the Rfam family "Bacterial small subunit ribosomal RNA", at positions 30 to 526 of the family's 1533-position model. The record is from RNAcentral.
AUUGAACGCUGGCGGCAGGCUUAACACAUGCAAGUCGAGCGAGCGGCGGACGGGUGAGUAAUGUCUGGGAAACUGCCUGAUGGAGGGGGAUAACUACUGGAAACGGUAGCUAAUACCGCAUACCAUCAGAUGUGCCCAGAUGGGAUUAGCUAGUAGGUGGGGUAAUGGCUCACCUAGGCGACGAUCCCUAGCUGGUCGGAGAGGAUGACCAGCCAGACUGGAAUCGAGACACGGUCCAGACUCCUACGGGAUGCAGCAGUGGGGAAUAUUGCGGAAGUGGGUCAAGCCUGAUGCAGACAUGCCGCGUGUGUGAAGAAGGCCUUCGGGUUGUAAAGCACUUUCAGCGAGGAGGCGUUACUCGCAGAAGAAGCACCGGCUAACUCCGUGCCAGCAGCCGCGGUAAUAC